Molecule: long non-coding RNA, 1374 nt
Organism: Myotis myotis
Lineage: Eukaryota; Metazoa; Chordata; Mammalia; Chiroptera; Vespertilionidae
Exons: 2
Source: RefSeq, a predicted model, not a curated record
CGCACUCGGGCGGGGGACGGAGCAGCUGUUGAGGCCGGAGCAGCUGCCGAGGCCGGCGCGGGGCUCAGCGCCCCCUCCGCGCCCACCCCUGCGCCGCGGGGAGGGCCCAGCCAGCCGGGCCUUUCAGAGUUAAUUAGCCCUCAUGCAUAUGGAUGCCACCGCGCUUGAAAGAGGUUGAGCGGCCGUAACCUGACCUCCGGAGGAGUGCGGGAAGAAAAGACCACUUUCUCGGCGGCCCCUAACUGAAAGCGGGGCAGCUGCGCGCCGCGUCCUGGGUGUGACCGCCGCCGCCCGAUUUCUCCCCCCGGAGCAGCCCGAGCGGGGCCGGGCGCCGCGCCCGCGUGCGCAGUCACUCUGUUGACCCGCAGGGCUGCGCAGGCGGCCCGGCCUCCGUCCCGGUGCAGUGUUGCGGUAAUGCUAUCUGCACUGGGAAUUUAUUCUGCAGCUUUCCUUUUCCGUGAUGGUUUUCAUUUCCUGUCUUUCAGAGCUGGAAGCGUUUAUGGAAUAUCACAUGGUUUUCGUUUACACAGGAAGUCAGCUGCAGUGUCACUGUUCUCCGAAGUGGCCUGUGAUUAUAUACAGAAAGCAGCAGUUUAUUUCUGACACGUGGUAAUCACUCUAUGUGAAGAAAGCUCAGCAUGAAGAGAUGCUUUGGCUUUGCCCGGAGCUAAGGCGCGAGCCCGGGAGAUGGGCGAGGAGCCUCCGGGACAGGCCGCGGGGAGAGGCUGAGAGCCCAGCCACGACCCUGCGCGGCUCAGGCCGCCUGCCAAGCUCGGUUCCCACCCUUCCGGGGAAAAACAAAACAAAACAAAAAAACGGCCCUUACCGCCCAAUAACCUGCUAGGACCACUCUGCUUAAACGUGCACACAGCAUUGUCUUCCCUUUCCCCCACCGACGAGGACCACAGGAGGUCUCAUCCACCUCUAGCCCACCACCCGGGCAAUCAAGAGAAUCUCAAGGCUUUAUAACAGAGAUGGAGAAGGACGUGGAAGAAUCUGCGACUUGUUCUGUAAACUCCGCCCUCUGGUCAACACUGAGUUAGGAACUCCUGACUAGAACCACCCACAAAGACUGCGCUCUCUAGUUACCCUCUCUGCUUCCGCAGUGUGGCUCCAGCAGCUUCUCACCCUCCCCCAGGAACCUCGGGCAACUGACCACCCUGGGCGGUAGCGCCACCUCGUGGCCAGCACCCCUCUCCAAGCAUUUCUUCCUCUCCCUUUUCCAGGAGCCUGAACAGUCUCUGUGGUCCCUGGAGACUGGCUUGAAGAGCCAGGGUAUUCACAAUCAAAUCAGGGCUGAAAGCCCCCGCCCGAGGGUUGAAAUGGUCCCUCCCUCCUUUCUUCUUGCCCCUGAAUAAACUAGAAAGGAAAGCA